AUGGCUCAGUGAGGCUUUCGGACUGGCCCAGGGAGGUCGGCAACGACCACCCAGGGCCGGAAAGUUAUCCAAACUCGGUCAUUUAGAGGAAGUAAAAGUCGUAACAAGGUCUCCGUUGGUGAACCAGCGGAGGGAUCAUU
RNAcentral lists this ribosomal RNA (140 nucleotides) under Sydowiella stellatifolii. Its description in RNAcentral is "partial 18S ribosomal RNA". It matches the Rfam family "Eukaryotic small subunit ribosomal RNA", at positions 1693 to 1830 of the family's 1831-position model. Lineage: Eukaryota; Fungi; Ascomycota; Sordariomycetes; Diaporthales; Sydowiellaceae. RNAcentral also lists the same sequence under 1 other name. The record is from RNAcentral.